RNAcentral lists this non-coding RNA (23 nucleotides) under Arabidopsis thaliana (thale cress). The record is from RNAcentral. Lineage: Eukaryota; Viridiplantae; Streptophyta; Magnoliopsida; Brassicales; Brassicaceae.
GGUUUUAGGUGCGGUUUAUAUCA